RNAcentral lists this ribosomal RNA (1435 nucleotides) under Klebsiella pneumoniae subsp. pneumoniae WGLW1. Its description in RNAcentral is "bacterial SSU rRNA". It matches the Rfam family "Bacterial small subunit ribosomal RNA". The record is from RNAcentral. Lineage: Bacteria; Pseudomonadati; Pseudomonadota; Gammaproteobacteria; Enterobacterales; Enterobacteriaceae.
AGAGUUUGAUCAUGGCUCAGAUUGAACGCUGGCGGCAGGCCUAACACAUGCAAGUCGAGCGGUAGCACAGAGAGCUUGCUCUCGGGUGACGAGCGGCGGACGGGUGAGUAAUGUCUGGGAAACUGCCUGAUGGAGGGGGAUAACUACUGGAAACGGUAGCUAAUACCGCAUAAUGUCGCAAGACCAAAGUGGGGGACCUUCGGGCCUCAUGCCAUCAGAUGUGCCCAGAUGGGAUUAGCUAGUAGGUGGGGUAAUGGCUCACCUAGGCGACGAUCCCUAGCUGGUCUGAGAGGAUGACCAGCCACACUGGAACUGAGACACGGUCCAGACUCCUACGGGAGGCAGCAGUGGGGAAUAUUGCACAAUGGGCGCAAGCCUGAUGCAGCCAUGCCGCGUGUGUGAAGAAGGCCUUCGGGUUGUAAAGCACUUUCAGCGGGGAGGAAGGCGGUGAGGUUAAUAACCUCAUCGAUUGACGUUACCCGCAGAAGAAGCACCGGCUAACUCCGUGCCAGCAGCCGCGGUAAUACGGAGGGUGCAAGCGUUAAUCGGAAUUACUGGGCGUAAAGCGCACGCAGGCGGUCUGUCAAGUCGGAUGUGAAAUCCCCGGGCUCAACCUGGGAACUGCAUUCGAAACUGGCAGGCUAGAGUCUUGUAGAGGGGGGUAGAAUUCCAGGUGUAGCGGUGAAAUGCGUAGAGAUCUGGAGGAAUACCGGUGGCGAAGGCGGCCCCCUGGACAAAGACUGACGCUCAGGUGCGAAAGCGUGGGGAGCAAACAGGAUUAGAUACCCUGGUAGUCCACGCCGUAAACGAUGUCGAUUUGGAGGUUGUGCCCUUGAGGCGUGGCUUCCGGAGCUAACGCGUUAAAUCGACCGCCUGGGGAGUACGGCCGCAAGGUUAAAACUCAAAUGAAUUGACGGGGGCCCGCACAAGCGGUGGAGCAUGUGGUUUAAUUCGAUGCAACGCGAAGAACCUUACCUGGUCUUGACAUCCACAGAACUUUCCAGAGAUGGAUUGGUGCCUUCGGGAACUGUGAGACAGGUGCUGCAUGGCUGUCGUCAGCUCGUGUUGUGAAAUGUUGGGUUAAGUCCCGCAACGAGCGCAACCCUUAUCCUUUGUUGCCAGCGGUCCGGCCGGGAACUCAAAGGAGACUGCCAGUGAUAAACUGGAGGAAGGUGGGGAUGACGUCAAGUCAUCAUGGCCCUUACGACCAGGGCUACACACGUGCUACAAUGGCAUAUACAAAGAGAAGCGACCUCGCGAGAGCAAGCGGACCUCAUAAAGUAUGUCGUAGUCCGGAUUGGAGUCUGCAACUCGACUCCAUGAAGUCGGAAUCGCUAGUAAUCGUAGAUCAGAAUGCUACGGUGAAUACGUUCCCGGGCCUUGUACACACCGCCCGUCACACCAUGGGAGUGGGUUGCAAAAGAAGUAGGUAGCU